UUGACUGUUUGGGGACCGAAAGUUUCUGCUUCCCACAGAGCAGACACAGUGUAGGAAUUUAUAGUGCAUCCCUACUACAGAACACUUGGUCUCCACCAGGACCUGUAGACAUGACUCCAUGGUUGAGAAGGUAGCUCCGUCUCCUCGAUCUUUCCUUUAAGUCUGCC
Molecule: small RNA, 167 nt
Filed under: Peromyscus maniculatus bairdii (prairie deer mouse)
Lineage: Eukaryota; Metazoa; Chordata; Mammalia; Rodentia; Cricetidae
Description: TUC338 (ENSPEMG00000004569.2)
Source: RNAcentral